This 1524-nucleotide long non-coding RNA is filed under the name Bemisia tabaci. Its description in RNAcentral is "lncRNA ENSASIAIIG005068". The record is from RNAcentral. Lineage: Eukaryota; Metazoa; Arthropoda; Insecta; Hemiptera; Aleyrodidae.
AUGAAGUCCGAGUCGUCUGAGGGGGAGAAUAGUGAACCUGCAGAGCCACCUUUAGCUGCUAGUCGGUCACCGUUCCACAUCAGUAAAUGUGACGUUGACGUUAAUCAAAAUAUAAAAGAAUCUGAAGGCUUUAAUUAUGUUCGGCCAACCGACAUCACGUCAAAAACAGUGAUAACUGUUGACUCUUCUUUGGACCCUGCUCGAGGUGUGCAUCCCUCCACAGAAGAAUCUCUCUUUGCCCCGUCCACAUUCCAAUACACUUCCAGUUAUCCUAACCUCAAAAACUCGUCGACCGUCUCUUCGCAUCCGAAUUCUCUCAGUGUUGCGACGGCUAUUUUAAAUUUACCUAACAAGUCGCCUACAUUUUCAGAAAGUGAUGUUUCUGACAAGCAAUCUAGUCCUGAUAGAUCCCUGAGCGCAGGAAAAGCAAGUUUUGAAAAAUUGUUGAGUCCCGAGAAAAUAUCUGAGGACAGUAAAAAUAGUGCAGCGUCGAAAGAAGGAUAUAAGUCUAGUUCCUCUCCAUCUUUUGGACUGGAGAAAGCUGUACCAAAUCAAAAAUGCUCUUUCAAAUCGUCAAGUCCAGCACGGUCCCCCAGUCCUAAUUCACGAUUAUCAAGAUCUCGGAGCCCCACUCCUAGUUACAGUUUUACAAUUUCCCCACGACAUCACCAAACUAGAAGCAAAGACAGUAGCGCAAGUCAAACGAAUGAGUUCAGUGUCGCUCAGCCGGAAAUAUUAGACAAAUCAUCGAGCUACCACCUGAAUAUACCCAGUGCAUUCCAAUUAAAUUUAGAAAAGAAAAUGUCUGACCCAUCGCGAUCUCUUAGUCGAAGUCCUUCUUCUUCACCGGCCAGAGGUAGAACACCUGAGAAUAUCAAUUAUUCUAGUCUCAACGAUCCGAAUCAACCAAGUGCAGGUCGGCUUCUGUCUCUAGCAAAAUCCACGAGUUUCGUGUCCAAGAAAGCAGAAUACAUCGAACCUAUCGUUAGUGUGCCGUUCAAAUCCACCCACCGCUUUUCAGAACAGUUUUCAGAUAGUGAAAUUUCGCGGUCAGAAACCUCCGUGCCUAAGAUUCGAUUGGCAACUUAUCCUUCCGAUAGCGAGGAGCCUUAUCGAAAGGAUACGAAAGGCUGCUCUUCUGAAAGGGUACCCGAGAAACCAACAAAGACUUCGGAGUCGGACUCUCUUAGUUUUAAUGGUCCACCAUCAUCAACAUCCCAGUCCCCCUUUCCUCAAGAAGAAUGUGCCAGUAAACCCCCGGUGCACCCCGCCAGCCCUAUUGUCGGAAUCAGGGUUUCUAGCAAAGAAAGAAUGGAAAGUUUGAGGUACGCGAUGAUGAGAUCAGAAACGCCCGCGAUGGCAUUCAAAAUAAAUCUUUCGAAAGUUCCUCCGAAGACAUUUCCGACCUCACGUUUGACUUCUCAGGGAAGCACUACGUCAUCAACGAAUUCACCGAAAAUCACAUUCCAAAUGCCCGUAAGCCUCUCGAAAGUAUUAAUAACGAGAAACCGACAGACGGAGUGG